GCCGAAGUGGCGGAAUUGGUAGACGCGCACGACUCAAAAUCGUGUGAUCUUACGGUCAUGAGGGUUCGAUUCCCUCCUUCGGCACCA
RNAcentral lists this transfer RNA (87 nucleotides) under Candidatus Peregrinibacteria bacterium. RNAcentral's name for it is "tRNA-Leu". It matches the Rfam family "tRNA". From Rfam's summary of the family: Transfer RNA (tRNA) molecules are approximately 80 nucleotides in length. Their secondary structure includes four short double-helical elements and three loops (D, anti-codon, and T loops). Lineage: Bacteria; Candidatus Peregrinibacteriota. The record is from RNAcentral.